GUAAAAAUAAUUUAAAGUUAAAAUGUGGGGUUUCAAACCUUAAAAUGCGAUAAUUGUCGUUUUUUACG
This 68-nucleotide transfer RNA is filed under the name Modiolus philippinarum. Its description in RNAcentral is "tRNA-Trp". It matches the Rfam family "tRNA". From Rfam's summary of the family: Transfer RNA (tRNA) molecules are approximately 80 nucleotides in length. Their secondary structure includes four short double-helical elements and three loops (D, anti-codon, and T loops). Lineage: Eukaryota; Metazoa; Mollusca; Bivalvia; Mytilida; Modiolidae. The record is from RNAcentral.